RNAcentral lists this ribosomal RNA (397 nucleotides) under uncultured microorganism. RNAcentral's name for it is "bacterial SSU rRNA". It matches the Rfam family "Archaeal small subunit ribosomal RNA", at positions 330 to 731 of the family's 1478-position model. The record is from RNAcentral.
GUGCAGCAGGCGCGAAUACUUUACAAUGUGCGAAAGCACGAUAAGGGAACUCUGAGUGCCUCCUAAGGAGGCUGUUCAGGUGUCUAAAAAGCACCUGGAGUAAGGGCUGGGUAAGACCGGUGCCAGCCGCCGCGGUAACACCGGCAGCCCAGGUGGUAGCCACUUUUAUUGGGUCUAAAGCGUCCGUAGCCGGUUGAGUAAGUUCCUUGGGAAAUUUGGCUGCUCAACAGUCAAGCUUCCAGGGAACACUGCUCGACUUGGGGACUGGGAGAGGUCAGAGGUACUCCAGGGGUAGGGUGAAAAUCCAUUAAUCCCUGGGGGACCACCGGUAGCGAAGGCGUCUGACCAGACCAGGUCCGACGGUGAGGGACGAAGGCUAGGGUCGCGAACCGGAUUA